CUGGUCUUGCAGACAGAAGCCAAGCACAAAAAUGGGAGGCCCCUGAAAUACUGACCUACACCCAACUUUUGUAAUGUGAUGUGGAGGUCCCGACUGUCAAAGCCGGUUGUAGGCUCUUCUGUUCCUUAUAGCAGGGAGGAUCCCUCCACAGAGUCCUGAGCACACCGUGCACCGCCUGGGGUCUCUCCCACCUCAGGAGCAAGUCUCACUGCCAGGGGCUGGGAGGAAGCAACAUGCUCUCCUUGUUUUGCUCCUGCUGUGUCUCCUCUGUUGUUCCUCUUCCAUCCACACCUUUACCCACCUUGAAGACAACACUGCCUUCUUGGUUGGCCUUUCUGGGGCCCAGGAAUAGAGCUGACUAAGUGUCCCUCUCCCCCUUCCUGGGAGCAUGGCCUGGGCCUGAUUUGUUAGGCCUCCUUGCAGAGACUGGCUCAGGCCCUGGCACUUAACUUGUCCCCAGGAAUUGCUUAUUAAGAGCCCUAGUCAACAUGCGCGUGAUGAGAUGAACUCAACCUUGUCAGCAGGUGGGAGAAGUUUGAGCCGGAGCAUCUACUCCUCAGGCCUUAAGGGAUUUUAUCCCUAUGCUGCCCCCCUGAGUUCAAAGAAGCAGCAGGGCAGCUCAGACUCAGUGGAGCCUUGAGCCCAAGCGCGGUGAGGCUGUGGUGUCAACUCCAUCAUACAGACCAGGAAAUGGGGUCCCAGGAGAGUCAAAGUCACCCAGCAGGAAACUUUCGAUUUCUUAUCUCAUUGAAAUCGUAUAAAGUAUGCAACUGAGUUACAGACUGAGCUGCAGGAAAUUGAAAGGAAAGUGAAGUCGCUCAGUCAUGUCCGACUCUUUGUGACCCCAUGGAGUGUAGCCUACCAAGCUCCUCUGUCCAUGGGAUUUUCCAGGCAAUAGUAACUGGAGUGGAUUGCCAUUUCCUUCUCCAGGCUGGCAUGGAUCUUAUGAAGACAUUGUGUGCUAAACAUGGAUUUCUAUUCCUGGCACAUAGACCUCCAAUAAAAGGUGGCCUCUUUUAAUG
Molecule: long non-coding RNA, 1022 nt
Organism: Bos taurus (domestic cattle)
Lineage: Eukaryota; Metazoa; Chordata; Mammalia; Artiodactyla; Bovidae
Source: Ensembl